Oncorhynchus keta (chum salmon) is the source of this 1194-nucleotide long non-coding RNA. RefSeq lists it as uncharacterized. The record is from RefSeq and is a predicted model, not a curated record. Lineage: Eukaryota; Metazoa; Chordata; Actinopteri; Salmoniformes; Salmonidae. The transcript has 3 exons.
AGGGCUAGGAUUAGGGUUGGUAGAGAGUUGAAAUGUUACUGAUAGUCUGGGUUAAGGUUAGGGCUAGGGUUAGGGUUGGUAGAGAGUUGAAAUGUUACUGAUAGUCUGGGUUAAGGUUAGGGCUAGGGUUAGGGUUGGUAGAGAGUUGAAAUGUUACUGAUAGUCUGGGUCAAGGUUAGGGCUAGGGUUAGGGUUGGUAGAGAGUUGACAUGUUACUGAUAGUCUGGGUUAAGGUUAGGGCUAGGGUUAGGGUUGGUAGAGAGUUGACAUGUUACUGAUAGUCUGGGUUAAGGUUAGGGCUAGGGUUAGGGUUGGUAGAGAGUUGAAAUGUUACUGAUAGUCUGGGUUAAGGUUAGGGCUAGGGUUAGGGUUGGUAGAGAGUUGAAAUGUUACUGAUAGUCUGGGUCAAGGUUAGGGCUAGGGUUAGGGUUGGUAGAGAGUUGAAAUGUUACUGAUAGUCUGGGUUAAGGUUAGGGCUAGGGUUAGGGUUGGUAGAGAGUUGAAAUGUUACUGAUAGUCUGGGUUAAGGUUAGGGCUAGGGUUAGGGUUGGUAGAGAGUUGACAUGUUACUGAUAGUCUGGGUUAAGGUUAGGGCUAGGAUUAGGGUUGGUAGAGAGUUGAAAUGUUACUGAUAGUCUGGGUUAAGGUUAGGGCUAGGAUUAGGGUUGGUAGAGAGUUGACAUGUUACUGAUAGUCUGGGUUAAGGUUAGGGCUAGGGUUAGGGUUGGUAGAGAGUUGAAAUGUUACUGAUAGUCUGGGUUAAGGUUAGGGCUAGGGUUAGGGUUGGUAGAGAGUUGAAAUGUUACUGAUAGUCUGGGUCAAGGUUAGGGCUAGGGUUAGGGUUGGUAGAGAGUUGACAUGUUACUGAUAGUCUGGGUUAAGGUUAGGGCUAGGGUUAGGGUUGGUAGAGAGUUGACAUGUUACUGAUAGUCUGGGUUAAGGUUAGGGCUAGGGUUAGGGUUGGUAGAGAGUUGAAAUGUUACUGAUAGUCUGGGUUAAGGUUAGGGCUAGGGUUAGGGUUGGUAGAGAGUUGAAAUGUUACUGAUAGUCUGGGUUAAGGUUAGGGCUAGGGUUAGGGUUGGUAGAGAGUUGAAAUGUUACUGAUAGUCUGGGUUAAGGUUAGGGCUAGGAUUAGGGUUGGUAGAGAGUUGAAAUGUUACUGAUAGUCUGGGUUAAGGUUAGGGCUAGGGUUAG